UACCGAGGCCUCAAGCUUUGUUCGGAAUCAUUGGGCGUAAAGGGUGCGUAGGUGGAUGGGUAAGUCAACUGUGAAAUCCCUGAGCUCAACUCCGGAACUGCAUUCGAUACUGCCCGGCUCGAGGAUUGGAGAGGAGACUGGAAUUGACGGUGUAGCAGUGAAAUGCGUAGAGAUCGUGAGGAACACCCGUGGCGAAGGCGGGUCUCUGGACAAUUCCUGACACUGAGGCACGAAGGCCAGGGGAGCAAACGGG
This 253-nucleotide ribosomal RNA is filed under the name uncultured bacterium. RNAcentral's name for it is "partial 16S ribosomal RNA". It matches the Rfam family "Bacterial small subunit ribosomal RNA", at positions 524 to 776 of the family's 1533-position model. The record is from RNAcentral.